RNAcentral lists this ribosomal RNA (467 nucleotides) under uncultured bacterium. RNAcentral's name for it is "partial 16S ribosomal RNA". It matches the Rfam family "Bacterial small subunit ribosomal RNA", at positions 28 to 507 of the family's 1533-position model. The record is from RNAcentral.
GAUGAACGCUGGCGGCGUGCUUAACACAUGCAAGUCGAACGGAAAGGCCCAAGCUUGCUUGGGUACUCGAGUGGCGAACGGGUGAGUAACACGUGGGUGAUCUGCCCUGCACUUCGGGAUAAGCCUGGGAAACUGGGUCUAAUACCGGAUAGGACCACUUCUUGGAUGUUGUGGUGGAAAGUUUUUUCGGUGUGGGAUGAGCUCGCGGCCUAUCAGCUUGUUGGUGGGGUAAUGGCCUACCAAGGCGUCGACGGGUAGCCGGCCUGAGAGGGUGUACGGCCACAUUGGGACUGAGAGACGGCCCAGACGCCGACGGGAGGCAGCAGUGGGGAAGAUUGCACAAUGGGCGCAAGCCUGAUGCAGCGACGCCGCGGGGGGGAUGACGGCCUUCGGGUUGUAAACUCCUUUCGCUAGGGACGAAGCGUUUUGUGACGGUACCUGGAGAAGAAGCACCGGCUAACUACGUG